AAACUCUUCUUACCCCCUAAUUGAGUCUGGGCUGGAGCAGAAGGACUGGAAAGUUCAGAGCACUUCAGUCCUGCCUUGGCUGUCUGCUUAGGCAAGUCACCAUCUCUCUCUGAUCUCAGUCUCCUUCCCAGUACACUGGGGUGACGAUACCUACUUCAGAGAGAUACUGUGAGAAUUCACGAAACAACAAUGUGUGAAGAUUCCACUUGGAAACUGGCCUGUGGAGCUUCCGGACAAGAAGACAGAUGACCAGCAAGAUACGGGAGUGAUGGACGGAGAGUUACAGUAACACAUUCAGGGAAGAAACCCACAGCAGGGAGUUAUAAUCAUCAGUUAAGCAUCUGUCAAAUACAUCAGGUCUGGGUGAGCCAGGAAGUGGAACCAGAGCCCAGAUGCUCAGCUUUUGUGAUAUGGUGGCAAAAGCCAGCCUGAGAAUGAAAUGCUUUCAGCAAAAGUACCCCCCAGAAUGUGACAUCUAUCACGAAAUCGCUGCCUGUGUGGUAACGUGACAAGACAGACUUUCUGACCAGUCUGGGAAUUCGGAAGACUUGGGGGCGGACCAGGGCAGGAGACGCUCUCGGCCUAUUUAAGGAAAGCUUGUUUUAC
This is a long non-coding RNA of Camelus dromedarius (Arabian camel), 606 nucleotides long. RefSeq lists it as uncharacterized. The record is from RefSeq and is a predicted model, not a curated record. NCBI's taxonomy places the organism in Eukaryota, Metazoa, Chordata, Mammalia, Artiodactyla, Camelidae. The transcript is spliced from 3 exons.